RNAcentral lists this ribosomal RNA (366 nucleotides) under uncultured bacterium. RNAcentral's name for it is "bacterial SSU rRNA". It matches the Rfam family "Bacterial small subunit ribosomal RNA", at positions 30 to 404 of the family's 1533-position model. The record is from RNAcentral.
CCUGAACGCUGGCGGCGUGGCUAAGACAUGCAAGUCGCACGGUGUAGCAAUACACAGUGGCGAACGGGUGAGUAAUGUAUCGCUAACGUACCCCAGACUCUGGGAUAGCCGGGGAAACUCCGGGUAAUACCAAAUGAAAUGACCUUGUCGCAUGACGAGGUUCUCAAAGGUCCGCCGGUUUGGGAGCGGGCGAUAUCGUAUCAGCUAGUUGGUGAGGUAACGGCUCACCAAGGCGAUGACGCGUAGCCGGACUGAGAGGUUGGCCGGCCACAUUGGGACUGAGACACUGCCCAGACUCCUACGGGGGGCGUGCAGUAACGAAUCUUCCGCAAUGCACGAAAGUAGUGACAGAGCGACGCCGCGUGU